ACGGCUCAGUAACACGUGGAUAAUCUGCCCUUAGGUGGAGGAUAACCUCGGGAAACUGAGAAUAAUACUCCAUAGAUCUAGGAUGCUGGAAUGCACUUAGAUUGAAAGUUCCGGCGCCUAAGGAUGAGUCUGCGGACUAUCAGGUAGUAGUCAGGGUAAAGGCCUGACUAGCCUACGACGGAUACGGGUUGUGAGAGCAAUAACCCGGAGACGAUAUCUGAGACACGAUAUCGGGCCCUACGGGGCGCAGCAGGCGCGAAACCUUCACAAUGUGCGAAAGCGCGAUGAGGGGAUCCCAAGUGCUUGCUCGUAAGAGUAAGCUGUUUUUAUGUCUAAAACGCAUAGAGAGUAAGGGCUGGGUAAGACGGGUGCCAGCCGCCGCGGUAAUACCUGCAGCUCAAGUGGUGACCGCUAUUAUUGGGCCUAAAACAUUCGUAGCCGGUUUGGUAAAUGCCUGGGUAAAUCGUGUAGCUUAACUAUACGAAUUCCGGGUAGACUGCCAAACUUGAGACCGGGAGAAGCUAGAGGUACUCCUUGGGUAGAGGUGAAAUUCUGUAAUCCUAGGGGGACCACCAGUGGCGAAGGCGUCUAGCUAGAACGGGUUUGACGGUGAGGAAUGAAGCCCUGGGGCGCAAACCGGAUUAGAUACCCGGGUAGUCCAGGGUGUAAACGCUGCUUGCUUGAUGUUAGUUGGGCUCCGAGCCCAAUUAGUGUCGGAGAGAAGUUGUUAAGCAAGCUGCCUGGGAAGUACGAUCGCAAGAUUGAAACUUAAAGGAAUUGGCGGGGGAGCACAGCAACGGGUGGAGCGUGCGGUUUAAUUGGAGUCAACGCCGG
This 834-nucleotide ribosomal RNA is filed under the name uncultured archaeon. RNAcentral describes it as "bacterial SSU rRNA". It matches the Rfam family "Archaeal small subunit ribosomal RNA", at positions 85 to 921 of the family's 1478-position model. The record is from RNAcentral.